RNAcentral lists this long non-coding RNA (791 nucleotides) under Vulpes vulpes (red fox). Its description in RNAcentral is "lncRNA (ENSVVUG00000012465.1)". The record is from RNAcentral. Lineage: Eukaryota; Metazoa; Chordata; Mammalia; Carnivora; Canidae.
GUCACCCCACCUGUUGGCCUGGGUCCCGGAUGUGUCCUGCUGUCUUCAGCCUCCAGCCUCUGGUCAGGCUCCUCCCUCUGCCCUCAGCCCUUCCAGAUCCACAGGGACAGGCUGAUGCCUCCCAACUACCCACCAUCCUGGGGACUGUUGUGGUCCUGCUGCUGAUCCUGGGAGCUGGACUGUUCCUCUGGAGGACACGAGUGAAGAAGAGCCUGGAGCCUGGGAGAGGCAGGUUGCACUUCUCCUCCCCGGGCCCACACACCUCCCUCCCCUGGACCCUGGGCUCCCUUCCUCCUGCAUUGACUGCUCAGGGGAUGUCCCUGCAGGAGGCAGGUGGGGACGGCCAUGGCCUUGGGGUGUUGGAGGGGAGGGGACAGGUUUCCAGGGCUCAGACUUCAGCUCCCUCUGUGUAUGACCCAGGUGCACGGUCGCAGGAGGAGCACAGGGACCCCGAUGGUGGCAUUCACUCUGCAGAGCUGAACCAGCAGAGGUCUGGAGACAGCAGGGACAAGGUGAGGCUGGGAGAGGGGGUAGCCUGGGUCCUCCCACAUCCCUGUGUGCCUGGGUGUGUGCUUGUCAAUCCCCGUCAUCCACAGGGUCUGACCACUGUACCCCUGGAACACUUUCAGGACAACACAGUAUUAGCUACAAAAUUCACUUCGGGGCCCAUGCAGUGUUGCGUGACUAGAGGAGGACAUGUCAGCAGCACUGGAUCUAUGGGGGUCCUGUUGGGGCUUUCUGUCUGUCUGCUGUUGCAGGACCCUCUGUCUGCAUUCCAGGGUAGAGGUGCA